GAUGAACGCUGGCGGCGUGCCUAAUACAUGCAAGUCGAGCGAACGGACGCGAAGCUUGCUUCUCUGAUGUUAGCGGCGGACGGGUGAGUAACACGUGGAUAACCUCCCUAUAAGACUGGGAUAACCUCGGGAAACCGGAGCUAAUACCGGAUGAUAUUUUGAACCGCAUGGUUCAAAAGUGAAAGACGGUCUUGCUGUCACUUAUAGAUGGAUCCGCGCUGCAUUAGCUAGUUGGUAAGGUAACGGCUUACCAAGGCAACGAUGCAUAGCCGACCUGAGAGGGUGAUCGGCCACACUGGAACUGGGACGCGGUCCAGACUCCUACGGGAGGCAGCAGUAGGGAAUCUUCCGCAAUGGGCGAAAGCCUGACGGAGCAACGCCGCGUGAGUGAUGAAGGUCUUCGGAUCGUAAAACUCUGUUAUUAGGGAAGAACAUAUGUGUAAGUAACUGUGCACAUCUUGACGGUACCUAAUCAGAAAGCCACGGCUAACUACGUG
Molecule: ribosomal RNA, 497 nt
Filed under: uncultured bacterium
Lineage: Bacteria
Description: partial 16S ribosomal RNA
Rfam family: Bacterial small subunit ribosomal RNA
Source: RNAcentral